RNAcentral lists this unclassified non-coding RNA (86 nucleotides) under Kaistella treverensis. RNAcentral's name for it is "Chryseobacterium treverense Flavo-1 RNA". Lineage: Bacteria; Pseudomonadati; Bacteroidota; Flavobacteriia; Flavobacteriales; Weeksellaceae. The record is from RNAcentral.
CCCGGAUGGAACGGCCUGUUUGAGCUCUUUUUUGGCGGCGGCAAAGCCGCCGCCAAAAAAAGCGAGUAGUGACAGCCGGAAAAGGC